Molecule: long non-coding RNA, 2753 nt
Organism: Homo sapiens (human)
Lineage: Eukaryota; Metazoa; Chordata; Mammalia; Primates; Hominidae
Gene: TEX14BP
Product: testis expressed 14B, pseudogene
Source: Ensembl
AGGCGCUGCGGGAGGCCACUGGUGCUCAAGCACCUCGGAUUCCCGCUCAUACAGCCGGCCGGAUCAUGUGGCAGUCAGGUGGCGACCACUAUCUAGCCCAACGUUGCUGGAGUUGUUGCAGCUCUGCCGGGCCCACAUAUCAGCGUUCGUGCAUGACGGUGAGUUGCCACCCAUGGCAUCUCUGGACCAGUUGCAGGCCAGAUUUGGGAACAGCCCGCCUGGCUCCCUGUCCUCCCUGAGGCUGAUGCAGGCAGACAGGAUGCUGAGGCUAGCACAGAUCAGGAGAGCCUCCCAAGUCCCGGCCUUGGGGUUUGGUCAGGUAAGCAGGAGUGGCUGUAGGAGUGGGAACCACCCCUGUCUUCUUCGUGCCUCAUGAUCCUGCCUGUCCCUAGCUGAGUAGCCUGUGGCCACCGGGGCUGGUAACGGGCAUCCCCCUUGUGGACCCCAAGGAGCUGCUGGCAGCCCAGGGAGAGCCUGACUGCACCUAUGAGAGCAGCUCCCCACCCUCAUGGCCAAGUGAGAGCCCCGCUGUGCCCUUGCCAGCUCUCCUGCUCCCCUCCCAGGGAAAGCCCCCUCGUCUCAGGCCUGUACUGCCCCGCCCCUAUUCUCCAGCCUCCUGUGGAUGGGUCACAAAAUGACUGUGCAGCAGCCGAAGGCCCCUGGAACCCAGACAGAUGUGCUACUGGCUGACCUUCAGCACUGCAGGUACCUGUGCCAGCCCCCAGCCCCGCCUCCUGUUGGCCCUCCCACGGAAGACAAGGGUGUGUGGCCGUAGUCAUGGCCAGAAUCUUCACUUCUGGGCCAGCACCCGGCAUGGAGCCCUUCUGCUGGGGCGAUCCCCCCACUGGAAAGUGGGUGGGUACCAGUUGUGUGUGCAAUGCCCUGUAGGCCUGAGAGGAGGUGGGGGUGUGGAAGGCACCAGGAUGAGGUAGGCGGUGGGUGCUGGCCCUCCCACUGCUGGGCUGCGUGACCUGGGAUCAGUCUUUCCUCUGUCUGAUGGCAGGUGCAGAUUGCCUGCCCUGGCACGUGGUGGGCAGUCUGGGCCCAGGAGCAUCUCCCACCCUGUGUGGCUGGGGCCUGCUCGUGAGUGGCCUGCUGUCCUCCUGCCCAGCAAGCUGCACCACCCUGGCCUGUUGCUGCUGAUGGCACUGAGUCCCUCUGCAGAUCUGUCGGGGCUGUGCCUUCUCUUUGAGCCUGUGUGGCUGGGCUCCCUGCAGGGGGUGCUGCACCCACCGAGACCAAGUGAGGAGGCACCUGGGACUGUGCUGGGCCUGCCGCCCCGGCCCCCUGCUGCAGCAGGUGCUAAAGGCCCUGCUGUUCCUGCAGGCCCACUGGCGAGCUCACAGUGGCUUCAGCUCUCACACCGUGUAGCUGGUGCAGCCAGGCCUGGCUAAAGUGGGCCACCUGGAGCACAGGCGCCUCCUACGCCAGCGCUGGCUGCGGCCCAGGCAGCAGAAGGGCUACCCCUGGGGAGGCCCAGGCCCAGGGCUUCCCCCGCCCCCUGAACUACACCCAUGGCUGCCACUUCAGCUGAUCUGCGGUGACAUGCCCACCACCACCUCAGACCUCUACAGCUUCUGCAUCCUGAUCCAGGAGGUCUUCACUGAGAAACUGUACAUCAAGUGGCUCACAGAGCCAAGACCACACCCAGGCCUGUGGCCCCUGUGAUGUCCCCAGGCCCCAUCCCAUGCCAGGCCUGAGACUCCUGAGGUCAGAGACCACAGCAGGAUCCCAAGGGGUGCAGCCUGGAACUUGGGCAGCAGCUUGACUCUAGGCAGCAGCUCUGGGCCCAGCCCAGGACCCAGCCCUGGGUCUGGCCACAGCCCCACAGCCAGGGUCAGCCUGCACUGCUGCCUGGAGCCCAGCUCAACAGUACAGAUACCCCCAGAGCCCUGCACAACUGUCCCACUGCUAACCUGUGACCCCCUCCGCCCGCCCUCCAGGAGUCACCAACCCGAAGUUCCCUGGCUGCCUCUCCUUUGACCAGGGAACUUUAGGGUCGCCCAACUGUCCCCUCACUCACCUAUGACCCUUAACCAACCCUGCUUCCCCCAGGGCCCUUCCCUGCACUCCAACUCCAGCCUCUAGGACUCAGCCUCCCUGCUGGGGACCCAGAGCUCUGCGGAACAGUUUGAGGAAGCUCUCAGCCAAGAUUCCAGCCCUGCAGGGGCUGCUGCGGCGCACACACAGGGUUAUUCUGCUGGAGCCCCAGCCCUGUGAGCCCAUCCCCAGCCUGCUGACCCACAGGGAGGCUUCCCACACACUGGGAGGCUGCUGGCAGGGAAGGCCACGAGGGCAGGCUAAGCAGAGGACCCCGAGCUCAGCCUGUGCCCCAUCUGCCCUCCCAGGCCCGCUGGAGCACCAUGGCUACCAGGUGGCAGCUCCAGCCUUCUCUCCUGCAGGCACCCGGUACUGAGCUGACUAGAGGAGGUCUCUUCUCCAGCCUGCAGAAGUGAGACCCGAGGCCUUGGAUGGGAGGACCCCAGGUAACCCUAGGUCUUUAUCCCUGAGGUAACCCUAGGUCUACCUGUGCCUCACUGCUCCCCAGGAUGGACCUGCUGGAGGAGAUCAUAGCAGAGCUACAAAAAGGAUGUCAGCUUGGAGAAAAGCCCAGCCUGAGCCCCACUCCUGACCUAGACUCCCAGGGUGCCCAUGGUUCCCCUCUCUGCAGAUACCACCUCUCAGAGGCUCCCAGGAGUAACUCCUGCCUUGGUGCCUCCCCAAAAGGAAAUAGAAUGAUAAAGUGCCCCCUC